This 450-nucleotide ribosomal RNA is filed under the name uncultured bacterium. RNAcentral describes it as "partial 16S ribosomal RNA". It matches the Rfam family "Bacterial small subunit ribosomal RNA", at positions 354 to 796 of the family's 1533-position model. The record is from RNAcentral.
GUCGAGAAUAAUUCACAAUGGACGAAAGUCUGAUGGUGCAACGCCGCGUGGAGGAUGAAGGUCUUCGGAUUGUAAACUCCUGUCAUCGGGGAGUAAGACCUGGCGGUAAAUAGCCGACAGGGUUGAUAGUACCCGAAGAGGAAGGGACGGCUAACUUCGUGCCAGCAGCCGCGGUAAUACGAAGGUCCCAAGCGUUGUUCGGAAUCACUGGGCGUAAAGGGAGCGUAGGCGGCGUGGUAAGUCAGAUGUGAAAUCCCGGGGCUCAACCCCGGAACUGCAUCCGAGACUGCCAUGCUUGAGGGUUGGAGAUGUAGCUGGAAUUCUCGGUGUAGCAGUGAAAUGCGUGGAUAUCGAGAGGAACACUCGUGGCGAAGGCGAGCUACUGGACAACAUCUGACGCUGAGGCUCGAAGGCCAGGGGAGCAAAAGGGAUUAGAAACCCGUGUAGUCC